GGGUUACAAUCUCUCUCUAUUUUGAUCCUCUGAUUCGAUCUCCGUAAGGUGUUGAUUUGUGGGAUGUGCGAUUGAUCCAAGGGCCGUCGAGGCUUGAUCUUGGAUGAACGAGGAUGAACGGAUCUUCAAGGGCUUUUGGGCUUGAUCUUGAAGAAUGGUGAUUGACGGAUCUUCAAGGGCUUUUGGGCUUGAUCUUGAAGAACAGUGAUGAACGGAUUUCCGAGGGCUUUUGGGCUUGAACUCGAAGAACAGUGACGAAACGGAUCUUCGAGUGCUUUUGGGCUUGAACGGAUCUUCGAGGGCUUUUGGGCUUGAUCUCGAAGAACAGUGAUGAACGAUGAACGCUUUCUUCAAGGGCCGUCAGGACUUGGGCUUGAUGAACAGCGGAUGAGCGGAUUUGUUGAUGUUGUCGAUCCAAAGGGGCCGUUGGGGCUUGAUCCUUGAGGAUGAACAGUUGAUGAACGAUGAACGCUUUCUUCAAGGGCCGUCGGGGCUUGAUCUUGAAUUGGUGGAUGAUUGUUGAUCCAACGGGCCGUCGGGGCUUGAUCUUAGGAUGAACGAUGAACGAAGAACGCUUUCUUGAUUCUUCGGGAACCUGGAUGCUUGAGAGCUUCGGAGUUUCAGAGCUUCAGAGCUUCAAGAAUUUUGCCUAAUGAUUUUUUGGUCCCCCAAAUGAAUGAAAUGGGCUUGUAUUUAUAGAAUUUUCCAAGGCCUAAUUUUGAAUAUAAUAUUCCAGAUGAAAUAAGUCGUUUCUGCCAGGUGUUGACACGUGUCCUAUUUGAUGACUUUUCCAACUCAUUUCAAUUUUCGUUGAGUCACACGUUACGUGUAAAAUUUAUGUAAUACAUGAGCGUUGACACUUUGAUUUACCGGUCAACAUUUAUUUACCGAAAUUUCGAUGUCUACAAAUGCCCCCACUUCAAGGCACGUCGUAUACAUGUGCUUGUCACGUGUAGGAGAUGCGUUUUGAAGUCCCUUACUGUAGAUGUCGAUCCAAGGGCCAUCGAGGCUUGAUCUUGAAUUGGGCUGGAGAUUUCUUCAAGGGCCGUUGAGGCUUGAUCUUGAAUUGGGCUUGAGAUUUCUUCAAGGGCCGUUGAGGCUUGUUCUUGAACUUUUGUUUGAAAUUUCUUCAAAGGCCUUCGAGACUUGAUCUUGAAGGUUGAAAUUGGACCACAAGGAGCUUCAUGUGGUAGAUGAUCUUUGGCUUUGGUAGUGGGUAAAUCGGCACCUACUUUUGUUGUGCUUGUUGACUUUCCACAGCUUUGAUCUUGAACUGGGUUGGAGGAUUUUCUGGAUUCCUCCAAUUGUUGAUUUUCCACAGCUUAUUCUUGAACUAGGUUUUUGAUUCAAGGGUGGUAGACACUUAAUCUUGAAUCGGACUUGUGAUUUCCUCAAGGGCCGUCGAGGCUUGAUCUUGAAUUUGGCUGGAAACUUCUUCAAGGGCCGUUGAGGCUUGAUUCUUGAAGGUUGACUCGAACACAUGGCAAGCAGGCACGAGGUGAGGGUGACAACCUGUUUCUUUGUUCAAUCUUUCUAAUUCACACCUGAGCAGUUUGGUCAACGGUAUGAUCUUCAAGAUUGAUGGGCUUUUCUUCCAGUUGGUGACUUGAUAUUUAAGGAUUCGAUUCGAGGGUGGUGAAUCGGCACGUGCAGCCCACAACGCCUAGUAAGUCGACCCAAGAAUUUGAGGGUCAAAACAGGUUCACUGUCCUCAGGCAGAUGCGACCUCUUAUCGAGUUCUUCAUCUCGGACUCUUUCUGCUGAGUUGACUGUGCAUGCUGCAUUCUUCUCUGCUUGUUUCUUCAGGUAGAUAUGGCAGCCUCUCGAGUUCCUCAGUUCGGACUCCUUCUGCUGAGUUGACCGUGGAGACCGCAUUCUUCUCUGCUUGUUCCUUAUGCACCUUGUCUCCACAUGCUGCAAGGUAUCAUUUUCACUUGCCUUAUCUGUUCUUCAGGCAGAUGUGGCAGCUUCUUUGAAAGUACAGCAGCAGUGGAAGGCGAGUACUCGAGAGCAGUGCUAGGUAGGCAAUCAGGGAAGGGUUCCAAGUAGUCGGUUCCUUACCCGAGUUUGAGUGGAAGUUCCGGCAUAUUGUUUUCUUUAUCCUUGUCUUUUGUAGGUAAGAACAAGGACAAAGGAAAGGACAGGGAGAACGCAUGAUAUGAGAUACUCUUGCUUUCUACCCUGGUGAUAUGAUGAUACUUUUGCUUUGGAGUCAUUGGCUUGCAGAGGUACCCCAAGGAAUAAGGAACACUGGGUAACUCAAGAGGCUUCGUUGGGAAGGCAUCCUCAGAGAUGAAGAAAGGUUCUGUAUGUCUGCCUUGCUAUGGAGGGUGAAGAUGGACAGUUAUAGGAAGUUCUUUAACACCUGUAGAUGUACUAUUCUUUCACUCGUGUCGGCAACCGUUGGAUGAUUGAACAGUAUACUUCACGUGUUUUCUCCUUCACCGAAAAUCUUCGACAAAUUGCCCGUGAUUUUUGCCAAGCUGAGUGUGCAUGUGACAGGUGUUGACGCGGCUGAAAAAAAGAUGGCGCCUCUUCGAUAACUGGGAUCGGCGCUUCGACAAAUUACCCGUGAUUUCCGCAAAGCUGAGUUUGCGUGUGAUGGGUGCCGACACGUCUGGAAAAGCAAGAUGCUUCUCCGAUUUCUGAGCUUGCCUCUUCGAUUUUUGAAUGGCCUCUUCGAAUUCUGAGCUCGCCUUUUCGAUCUCUGAAAUCCCGUCGAGUGCUGAUUUUUUAUAGAGGCAUGCAGUUCGUUUCAAAACACACUUGAAUUUUCGCUUGUGAAAACUCCCCUCUUGUACUUCUAAGAUCUUGAUUUGUCCGAUCUCUUCUUCCUUCAACACUUUGAAAAUGUCUGGACCCUCCGACCGUCGUUUUGAUUUGAACCUUGGUGAAGAGGUAGUCCCGUCUUCUCCAGAUAACAUAUGGCGCCCAUCCUUCAUAUCCCCUACUGGUCCUCUUACUGUUGGGGAUUCGGUGAUGAAGAAUGAUAUGACCGCUGCGUGGUGGCCCGGAACCUUGUCACUCCCAAAGAUAACAGACUACUUUCCCAGGCGGUCUGAUGAGUUGGCUGUUAAGGAGUCCCUGGCUCUUAGUGUGCAGUGUGCGGGUUCUGUGUCCAACAUGGCCCAACGCCUAUUUGCUCGAACCCGUCAAGUUGAAUCGUUGGCGGCUGAAGUGAUGAGUCUCAAACAGGAGAUCAGAGGGCUCAAGCAUGAGAAUAAACAGUUGCACAAGCUUGCACACAACUAUGCCACAAACAUGAAGAGGAAAAUUGACCAGAUGCAGGAAUCUGAUGGUCAGAUCUUACUUGAUCAUCGGAGGUUUGUGGGUUUGUUCCAGCAACAUUUACCUUCGUCUUCUGGGGCUGUACCGACUGCUGAGGCUUCAAACAGCCAACCUCUGACGCCUUCUCUUCCUGGAGUUCCGCCGAGUGAUGAUGCUCUGAAUAAUCACCCUCUGGUGCCUCUCCGAUCUAGGGCUCCGCCGAGUACUGAGGCGCCAUCUGAUCAACCUUGAAGAUCCCCUCCUGUAAAAUUGAUUUGUCCUUUUUUUUUUUUUUUUUUUUUUUUUUUUUUUUUUUUUAAUGAUAUGUGGAAUGUGAAUUCAUGUAAAAUUUUUUUUAGAGAAAUAAAUAAAAGAUGGACUUUACUAAAUGCAUUAUAUAUAUAUAUAUACAUAUAUAUAUUUCAUAUGUUUCUCAUGGUGCCAGAUGCUCUACCAAUUUUUUUUUUUAUUUUUUUUUUAUUAUUUUAAAUUUAAUUUUUAAUGGUGCCAGAUGCACCAUCCCACCCAUUUGUUUUUUGUAAUUUUUUAUUGUAUUUUUUUUUAUUUUUUAUUUUUUAUAUAUAUGGUGCCAUCCGCACCAUUCCUACACUCCCUUUUUUUUAUUAUUUUUUUAAUUUUUAAUUUUUAAUUUAUUUAUUAUUAUAUAUAUAUAUAUAUAUUCUUUUCAAAACCUUUGCCUUUCGGUGGUGCUGUGCCACCAAGAUUCCCACUUUCUUUUCUUUAUUUAUUAUUAUUAUUAUUAUUUUUUUAUUAUUAUUAUUAUUAUUUUUUAAUAUAUAUAUAUUUCUUUUCUUUUUUCUGCACAUGGUGCCAGACGCACCAUGAAGCCCCUUAUCUUUUAAUUCCUUCCUUUUUUUUUCACGUGGUGCUGCUGAUCCACCACUUCUUUUUUUUUUUUUUUUUUUUUUUUUUUUCGUGCUGGAUGCACCACAUACAUAUAUAUACAUAUAUUUUUUUAUAUACAUACACAUAUAAACACGCACACAAAGCAUCAAAAAGAAUUCUAAUCUUUAUUUUUUUAUUUUUUUAUUUUUUAUUAUUAUUAUUAUUGUUAUUUUUUUUUUUAUAUAUAUAUAGGGAUAGAGGGCUUGCAGAGAGCAUCGACGGAGAUGGACGGAGAAAGGAGGAGGAAGGUGGCGCGCGCCGUUGGUCUGGAGGCGGCAAGGAUGAACUUUGAAGGAAUCUCUCAAGACACCCUAUACUCCCCCAACGAGCUUUAAUCAUCAGCAACGUACGCCGACUUGUCUACCAUGUUCGACCCGAAGUCCGCCAUUAAUUCCACCAGCGGCUUCAUGAUUCCCGACUCGACGGCUCUAAUCUUGUUUUCUUUGACCGAGCAGAGUGAGUACAAAGCCGUCGAUGCGUCUUUCUUCCCACGAAAGCCUCCACACUCCAGAAAGUUCACCAGAAGCGGAAUCGCUCCCGACCGUCCGAUUGUGGCUUUGUUGUCUUCGAUUUGCGAGAGGUUGAGAAUCGCGGUGACGGUGGCUGAGGAUGGAGGAUUGCAAGAGCUUCCAUUGAAGGGCAAGGACAGCAAUGGAGGUCCUCGUGAACACCAGCAACUCUGCCACCCGCGAGGUGGUGCACCCCUACGACGACGUUGUCUUGAUCCAGCCGGGGAGGAUUCCUGACGAGUCUUUCAUUCGUGUUCUCCAUCCAUUGCCUCUACAACCCCUCCGCGUCUUUGACCACUGCGCUUCCAUGACUUUUCAGAUCGUUUGACUUAGAAGCAGCUAGGGGAUCCACAUGACUCUUAGAAGCACCGCUUUGCUUGCUCGGAUCUCCAGCGGUCUGAACCUGGGCAUCUGGAAUCAAGUACGACAGGCCCAUCUUCGAGAAGCAAUUAACAAGCUCCGCAAACACCAGAUUGGAUGAUGCAACUUUUGAAGCCCAUUCAAUAGGAAACUUCAAAGCAAAUUCACAAAGUGGCUCUGGCAGGGAUUUCACAACUUCGAUUUCGUCAUCGUCGUCAUCAAUUUGUUGAUAGGGGUUUGACGGUUGUUGCGCUGAGCGACAUCACGGCCAGGCAGACGACCGGGAAGAAGAUGGAGGAGAUUCACGAGUUUCGAGGCUUCAAAUCCGACGGUGGAGGUGAAAUCUCGUCCCGGCUCAGCCCUGAAUCUGAAUCUCCUUCUGUUGAUUUUGAUUUUGACCUUGACCUUGCUUGUCAUGCUCUGCGUCGUUGAUGCCGUUUGUCAUCAGUUCGAGUUGACACAUCGACGGCGGCUUUACCAGUGGGCUCACCGACCGACUCGGCCUUGUACACUUUGCACUCGUUCAAGUCGAUCGAGCUCCAUGAUUGGUUUCACCGGCGCGAAUUUACAGGAGAGUCGAAAUUGUCGUCUGACUUCAACGCCUCUGGCGGCGGCAUGGCUGCUGCUUCUUCAAUGGAGGGGAGGAAGAAAAAUUGAAAGGAAGGUCGAGUAUGGAGCAGAUUUUAAGUCGGAGGCCGUCGUCUCUUGGGUCGACGAGCGGCUUCGAAGUGCUGCGGGAGAUGGCAGAGCGACUGGGCGAGUAAGGGAACUACGAAGGAUCUCGCUGUCAAAAACUGGAUUGACGGAAUGGGUGCGAGAGUGAAGGCAGCGAUGGAAGCAGUUGUGGGUGAUGAGGGAUUUCGGGUAGAAGAAGCUGAAACGAGAGAGAGACAGGUGGCUGGGUUGACCCUUCAAGAUGGUCCUUCACACAAAGAGGGCCUGGGCGACUUCUUUUGAUGGGCUUGCCGCAGAUUGGGCCUGGUGUUGCUUUAGGGUCCAUAUAUAUAUUUGUUUUUCUUUUUUUUUUUUUUUUUUUUUUCAAAGAAACUGUAAUUUAAUUUUGUACAAAGAAAAUUGCAAAUAAAUUUGUAAUAAAAUUGACCUUCAUCAAUGAGACUUUAAUCAAACCCUUUUUUUUUUUUUUUUUUUUUUUUUUUAUGUGACUGAACUCGAAAUUGAAUGCUCGAGUUGCCUACGUACCCUUCCAAAGAAAGAGAUCAAGUCAAAACGUAGUUCAAAUACAUAGAUAUUUUUUUGUAUUUUCUUUUGGUGGUGCCGUUUGCAGUUUCAACUCGUGCAGGCAAGGAGUGUUGGUGUCGUUUGCAGUUUCAACUCGUGCAGGCAAGGAGCGUUUUGCCAUGCAGUUUUAGGCUCGUGCAGGCGAGGAGCCUUGUGUCCUACAGUUUAGGCUCGUGCGGACAAGGAGCUUUGGUUCGUGCAGUUUAGGCUCGUGCAAACAAUGAGCUUUAUGUCUUGCAGUUUAGGCUCGUGUAGGCGAGGAGUGUUGGUGUCGUUUGCAGUUUCAACUCGUGCAGACAAUGAGCGUUGGUGUUGCCUUUUAUGCUCGUGCAGACCAGGAGCGUUGAUGUUGCCUUUUAUGCUCGUGCAGACCAGGAGCAUUGUGUCUUGCAGUUUAGGCUCUUACAGACAAUGAGCUUUAUGUCUUGCAGUUUAGGCUCGUGCGAACAAGGAGCAUUGUGCCAUGCAGUUUAGGCUCGUGCAGGCGAGGAGCAUUUGUGAAUUUUGUCAAGCAAUCCGGGAGAGGUGUUCCUCGCAAUCUUCGUAGCAAGGAGCCUUGACCGAGUGAUUGAAGAAGUCUUCGGGCAAGAAAUCACGCAUUGUGAUGGGGACGGACGAUCUUCGUGUCGAAGUUUCAUCAUCUUCAACACGUUCACAUUGCUUUGAAGGUUGACAAGAGAUGCUUUGCCCCCUUUCCGAUUGGCGGACUUGUGGAGGAGACGUAUGCUUCUUGUGCAAUUUCUUAGGAGUGACUUGAGUCCAUCCUUCAAUUUUGCUUGUCUUGGAGGAUGCCCCCAGCGGUUGAGGUGAAAACUUUGAGUCGGAAGAGCCAGAAGUGAAGGUGGUAUAGUUUGACUUCGCCACUUCGUCAAGAUCUAGCUCGAUGAUUCCUUUCUGAGCCAGCUUUAUGAUGAGAUCUUUUAGCACGAAACAUUUUUCUGUCGGAUGACUGAUGAAGCGGUGGAAUUUACAGUACCUUGGACUGUCGGUGCGAUUCAUCUCUUCUGGCCGUUUGCACUCAGGCAAGCCGAUCACCUUCUUUUCCAGCAAGUCUUCUAACAUGGCAACCACAUCAGAGUCGGGGAAUGGAUAAGUUUUCUCCUCAAGCUCCUUCAAAGUGUGUCUACGCAUCUCUCUUGAUCACGAAAGCCUUCGGCUUGAAUCACCUUGCCUCGUGUGGAUAUUUUGAUGGGAGAUGUGUUGACCGUCAUCGCUUCCUUGGUGGGUUUCCAUGCACCCUUUUCCACCUUUGUCCCAAGAACUUUGUCGUUCUUGUAGUCGGCGAUCGGUUCUUUCUUCCCAUGAUGGGCGAUGCUCAACUCCAUGUCAUGGGCGCGAGUGGCCAAUUCCUCGAAGGUCCGCGGUUUAAUGCCUUGAAGGAUGUAUUGCAAACCCCAUUGCAUGCCUUGGAUGCACAUCUCGAUUGAAGAGGUUUCCGAGAGCCUAUCUUUACAGUCGAGGCUUAGAGUGCGCCAUCUGUUGAUGUAGUCAAUGACUGGUUCGUCCUUCCACUGCUUCGUGCUUGUUAGCUCUAGCAUGCUCACAGUGCGGCGGGUGCUGUAGAAGCGAUUGAGGAAUUCCCGCUCCAAUUGCUCCCAACUGUUGAUGGACUCAGGCUCCAGAUCUGUGUACCACUCAAAGGCGUUUCCUUUCAGCGAGCGCACAAACUGCUUGGCGAGGUAAUCCCAUUCGGUUCCUGCGUUGUUGCAAGUUUCAACGAAGUGGGCAACGUGCUGUUUCGGGUUUCCCUUUCCAUCAAAUUGCAUGAACUUUGGUGGUUGAUAACCCUUCGGCAUCCUUAAAGCGUCGAUCUUCUUUGAAUACGGCUUUGAGUACAACCCGGAGGUAUAUGAGUUCCCUUCGUACUGUGCCUUGAUGGUGUUGGUGAUCAUCUCUUGUAGCUGCUGGAUAGAAAGAGAUCCCAUGAGUGCCGCUGCUUGGUCUGGCUCCGGCUUCGCAUCGUUUUUCUCCACAUGAGGCUCCUCUUCUUCGUCCUCUCUUCUCUUUAGUGGAUCAUUCUCUGGGUCGGGUUUAUCGCCGUCCUGCACCUCUAGUCGGUUGACUAGUGCUGCAAUUUGCAAGUCUUUUUCUUCCACAGUUCGGGUUAGCCUUGCGAUUGCUUCAUUCAUUUGAGCCAGCUGCUCAUCGAUUGAGGUUGCUCCAAUGGUCAUGACUUGCAUGGCUGAACUGUCGCUUGAAUCGGCAUCGGAGAGCAUGGAUUCGGAGUAUUUCCUUGGGCUUUCCCCCCUUGGUGCCCUUAGUGAGGCUAAGGUGAUCAAAGGCUCGUGCCUUGGGUGUUUUUGUUCCCUUGGCAGAGUUGAUGCAGAGGUGAAAGAGGUGGCAGAAGUAGCUCUUGCCAUGCUUCGAGUCGUGAUGCCCAAAGUGACACCACUUGCCACGAGGACGCUCUUGUUCUUUGCGCCGGUUGCAGGAACAGAUUGAGCCUUCCUUGAUGCCAUUAAUUUUGGAAGUGCGCUUGAAUUUCUUGAACGGAGAAAGAGAUGAGAGGCAGAGAUUGUCCCACUGGGCGUGCCAAUUUGUGAACACGGAAAAUUCCUGAAACGAAAGAGACAAGAACAACGUGCACAAACAAAUAUUUGUAUUUUUGAUAAUUUUGGGUUACAAUCUCUCUCUAUUUUGAUCCUCUGAUUCGAUCUCCGUAAGGUGUUGAUUUGUGGGAUGUGCGAUUGAUCCAAGGGCCGUCGAGGCUUGAUCUUGGAUGAACGAGGAUGAACGGAUCUUCAAGGGCUUUUGGGCUUGAUCUUGAAGAAUGGUGAUUGACGGAUCUUCAAGGGCUUUUGGGCUUGAUCUUGAAGAACAGUGAUGAACGGAUUUCCGAGGGCUUUUGGGCUUGAACUCGAAGAACAGUGACGAACGGAUCUUCGAGAGCUUUUGGGCUUGAACGGAUCUUCGAGGGCUUUUGGGCUUGAUCUCGAAGAACAGUGAUGAACGAUGAACGCUUUCUUCAAGGGCCGUCAGGACUUGGGCUUGAUGAACAGCGGAUGAGCGGAUUUGUUGAUGUUGUCGAUCCAAAGGGGCCGUUGGGGCUUGAUCCUUGAGGAUGAACAGUUGAUGAACGAUGAACGCUUUCUUCAAGGGCCGUCGGGGCUUGAUCUUGAAUUGGUGGAUGAUUGUUGAUCCAACGGGCCGUCGGGGCUUGAUCUUAGGAUGAACGAUGAACGAAGAACGCUUUCUUGAUUCUUCGGGAACCUGGAUGCUUGAGAGCUUCGGAGUUUCAGAGCUUCAGA
RNAcentral lists this long non-coding RNA (9529 nucleotides) under Malus domestica (apple). RNAcentral describes it as "long non-coding RNA (MDOM_LNC009674)". The record is from RNAcentral. Lineage: Eukaryota; Viridiplantae; Streptophyta; Magnoliopsida; Rosales; Rosaceae.